RNAcentral lists this ribosomal RNA (1974 nucleotides) under Burkholderiaceae bacterium. RNAcentral's name for it is "partial 23S ribosomal RNA". It matches the Rfam family "Bacterial large subunit ribosomal RNA", at positions 1 to 2071 of the family's 2925-position model. Lineage: Bacteria; Pseudomonadati; Pseudomonadota; Betaproteobacteria; Burkholderiales; Burkholderiaceae. The record is from RNAcentral.
UUUAAAGCGAAUAAGGGCGCAUGGUGGAUGCCUAGGGUCUGAGAGGCGAUGAAAGACGUGGUAAGCUGCGAUAAGCUACGGGGAGGUGCACACGACCGUUAUAUCCGUAGAUUUCUGAAUGGGACAACCUAAUAUACUGAAGGUAUAUUACUCUGCAAAGAGAGCCAACCCCGAGAACUGAAACAUCUAAGUACCGGGAGGAAAAGAAAAUAAUAAUGAUUCCCUGAGUAGUGGCGAGCGAAAAGGGAAGAGCCCAAACCGGGUCAGCGUGCUGAUCCGGGGUUAUAGGACUGCAUUUAGAAGUUGUUAUCAAACCGAAUCAUCUGGAAAGAUGGGCCAUAGCAGGUGAUAGCCCUGUAAGUACAAAUUAACAAGGACGAGCAGUAUCCUGAGUAACGCGGGACCGGAGGAAUCUUGCGUGAAUUUGCCAGCACCAUCUGGUAAGGCUAAAUACUCCUCAGACACCGAUAGUGAACCAGUACCGUAAGGGAAAGGUGAAAAGCACCCCGAACAGGGGAGUGAAAUAGUACCUGAAACCGUGCGCCUACAAGCGGUCGGAGCUCAGCAAUGAGUGACGGCGUGCCUUUUGCAUAAUGAGCCUACGAGUUGCUCCUCACUGGCGAGGUUAAGUUCUUAUUUAACGGAGCCGAAGCGAAAGCGAGUCCAAAUAGGGCGAAUAGUCAGUGGGGGCAGACGCGAAACUUUGUGAUCUAUCCAUGGGCAGGUUGAAGGUGUGGUAACACACACUGGAGGACCGAACCCGUUGACGUUGAAAAGUCUUGGGAUGACCUGUGGAUAGGGGUGAAAGGCCAAUCAAACUGAGAGAUAGCUCGUUCUCCCCGAAAUGUUUUUAGGAACAGCGUUGCAUUAUGAAGUUUAUUAGAGGUAGAGCUACUGAUUGGGCUAGGGGGCUUCACCGCCUACCAAACCCUGACAAACUCCGAAUGCUAAUAAAUAUCUGCAGCAGUGAGGCUUUGGGCGCUAAGGUCCAGGGCCGAGAGGGAAAUAACCCAGAUUAGCAACUAAGGUCCCUAAUACGUAGUUAAGUUGAUCAAACGAGGUGGGAUUUCUAUAACAGCCAGGAUGUUGGCUUGGAAGCAGCCAUUCAUUUAAAGAGUGCGUAACAGCUCACUGGUCGAGAGAUCCUGCACGGAAAAUAAUCGGGCAUCAAACUACGAACCGAAGUUCUAAAUUCUAGCCUAGCUAGAGUGGUAGGGGAGCAUUGAAAUCUGCACAGAAGGUGUGGCGCGAGCCAUGCUGGAGCGAUUUCAAAAGAAAAUGUAGGCAUAAGUAACGAUAAUUAAAGUGAAAAACUUUAACGCGAAAAGUCUAAGGUUUCCUGAUCAACGUUAAUCGGAUCAGGGUUAGUCUGGUCCUUAGGAAAACCCGAAAGGGGUAUCUGAUGGAAAGAAGGUUAAUAUUCCUUCACCUACUAUGCAUUAAAAGUGACGCAGGGACGUGGUGGUUGCGUACGGACGGAAGUGUACGCCUGAGUGGAGUCUUCGGACAAAGCGAAACCAUAAAAUCCCUGCCAAGAAAAGCGAGCAUAGCAGCCAGUACCGGAAUCCGACACAGGUAGACGGGAUGAGUAUUCUAACGCGCUCGGGUGAGCCGUGGAGAAGGAACUAGGCAAAUUAACGCUGUAACUUCGGGAUAAAGCGUACCAUCGCAAGAUGGUCACAGUAAAAUGGUACAACCAACUGUUUAACAAAAACACAGGGCCCUGCAAAAACGUAAGUUGACGUAUAGAGCCUGAAACCUGCCCGGUGCUGGAAGGUUAAGGAAGGGUGUUCGACGCAAGUCAAAGCUCCUGACUGAAGCCCCAGUAAACGGCGGCCGUAACUAUAACGGUCCUAAGGUAGCGAAAUUCCUUGUCGGGUAAGUUCCGACCUGCACGAAUGGUCUAAUGAGUUGUACACUGUCUCCUCCACGAGCCCGGUGAAAUUGUAGUAUCGGUGAAGAUGCCGGUUACCC